ACACAGCGGCCCACGCCCGG
This 20-nucleotide unclassified non-coding RNA is filed under the name Chlamydomonas reinhardtii. RNAcentral's name for it is "small RNA Cre_0198". Lineage: Eukaryota; Viridiplantae; Chlorophyta; Chlorophyceae; Chlamydomonadales; Chlamydomonadaceae. The record is from RNAcentral.